UGCAAGUCGAGCGGGGGAAGGUAGCUUGCUACCGGACCUAGCGGCGGACGGGUGAGUAAUGCUUAGGAAUCUGCCUAUUAGUGGGGGACAACAUCUCGAAAGGGAUGCUAAUACCGCAUACGUCCUACGGGAGAAAGCAGGGGAUCUUCGGACCUUGCGCUAAUAGAUGAGCCUAAGUCGGAUUAGCUAGUUGGUGGGGUAAAGGCCUACCAAGGCGACGAUCUGUAGCGGGUCUGAGAGGAUGAUCCGCCACACUGGGACUGAGACACGGCCCAGACUCCUACGGGAGGCAGCAGUGGGGAAUAUUGGACAAUGGGGGGAACCCUGAUCCAGCCAUGCCGCGUGUGUGAAGAAGGCCUUAUGGUUGUAAAGCACUUUAAGCGAGGAGGAGGCUACUUUAGUUAAUACCUAGAGAUAGUGGACGUUACUCGCAGAAUAAGCACCGGCUAACUCUGUGCCAGCAGCCGCGGUAAUACAGAGGGUGCGAGCGUUAAUCGGAUUUACUGGGCGUAAAGCGUGCGUAGGCGGCUUAUUAAGUCGGAUGUGAAAUCCCCGAGCUUAACUUGGGAAUUGCAUUCGAUACUGGUGAGCUAGAGUAUGGGAGAGGAUGGUAGAAUUCCAGGUGUAGCGGUGAAAUGCGUAGAGAUCUGGAGGAAUACCGAUGGCGAAGGCAGCCAUCUGGCCUAAUACUGACGCUGAGGUACGAAAGCAUGGGGAGCAAACAGGAUUAGAUACCCUGGUAGUCCAUGCCGUAAACGAUGUCUACUAGCCGUUGGGGCCUUUGAGGCUUUAGUGGCGCAGCUAACGCGAUAAGUAGACCGCCUGGGGAGUACGGUCGCAAGACUAAAACUCAAAUGAAUUGACGGGGGCCCGCACAAGCGGUGGAGCAUGUGGUUUAAUUCGAUGCAACGCGAAGAACCUUACCUGGCCUUGACAUAC
This 939-nucleotide ribosomal RNA is filed under the name Acinetobacter baumannii. RNAcentral describes it as "bacterial SSU rRNA". It matches the Rfam family "Bacterial small subunit ribosomal RNA", at positions 56 to 989 of the family's 1533-position model. The record is from RNAcentral. Lineage: Bacteria; Pseudomonadati; Pseudomonadota; Gammaproteobacteria; Moraxellales; Moraxellaceae.